CUCUCUUCUAGAGCAGUACGCGAGUCAAAAUCCACCUCAAAACCCAAAAAUCACUACAAAAAAGAGCAACUCAAAGAGUUGCAAAACAUAGUAGAGUGUCAAAAUUGACGACCAUAAGUUCCAAAACAGAGUCGACCGAGAAGCUGGUUUUCUCAGACGAGCACAAAGCCACCAUCUUUGCUAUAGAACCAAGCUCGGAACCAAGAGAAAGAGGCGAGACGAAAGAAAAGGAGAAGAGAACGGGGAAGAAGGAAGAGAAGGAGAAGAGACAGACCGGAAGCUCUUGACUAAAACAACACAAGUGGAAGGUAUUUGUGGUUUUGUGAGAAUUUGAUUAGAAAUUUAUUAUGGGUUGUAUAUUUGAUUGGAUGCUUCAAAAUUGAAUACUUGGAUAUUGGGUUGUCAUUGAUUUUGUUUGCAGGUUUUGCUUGCUAUUAUUGUUAUUGUGUUUCACAUUAUGAGUA
Long non-coding RNA from Rosa chinensis, 464 nucleotides. RefSeq lists it as uncharacterized. The transcript has 2 exons. Lineage: Eukaryota; Viridiplantae; Streptophyta; Magnoliopsida; Rosales; Rosaceae. The record is from RefSeq and is a predicted model, not a curated record.